Molecule: transfer RNA, 76 nt
Filed under: Deltaproteobacteria bacterium
Lineage: Bacteria; Pseudomonadati; Myxococcota; Myxococcia
Description: tRNA-Ala
Rfam family: tRNA
About the family: Transfer RNA (tRNA) molecules are approximately 80 nucleotides in length.
Source: RNAcentral
GGGGAUAUAGCUCAGCUGGGAGAGCGCGUGAAUGGCAUUCACGAGGUCAGGGGUUCGAUCCCCCUUAUCUCCACCC